UGUGGCUGGCCAGGGAAGCGUAGAGAGCAUCAAACUACCUUUGCUGUGGGGAAAGCCCUGACUUGAACCAUCUUGGUACCUCCCACAUUGGAGGUUUAAAGUCCCGCUCAGAUGGCAUCCAUCGACCGUGGGUAGAAACAGAAGAGGAGCUGAAGGAGCCAUUAGGCCAUGAAAUCAGAUUUCCCACACCUGCCCAUCUGCUAUGAGUCCAGCAUCUUUGGAUAAAGCAUGUUCCACCCAUCUGGCAUUCAUCUGAAGACAUCAGACGUCCACUAAUUCUGUAAGUAGUUUCUUCUGAAUUUUAAAUAUGGGAUAACA
This 318-nucleotide long non-coding RNA is filed under the name Dromaius novaehollandiae (emu). RNAcentral's name for it is "lncRNA (ENSDNVG00000003805.1)". The record is from RNAcentral. Lineage: Eukaryota; Metazoa; Chordata; Aves; Casuariiformes; Dromaiidae.